AGGAAAAAACGAGGCUCCAAGGCUUUGGGAAGGAGGAGGCAGCCUGGCAGGGAGGUUUCUCCGGUGGAGGGGCAGCUCCUCAGCAACGAGGGGUGGGGAUUUGGGGCCCCGGUGCCCUCCUGGAGGAAGUUCCUCGGGUGCCUGUUAGACAUUGAGCGCUUUGUGAGGGCCGGCUGGCUGCCCACUCCCUUAAGGGAACUUGACAGAUCUUAAAAAAAAAUCAAUUUUAAGCUCACAUGCCCCAGUGGGUGCCAAAGCCACUUCAGAGAGGCUGAGAGAUGGCUGAGUCGACAGGAUUUGACUUCCAGAGGUAGAAAGCAGCUGACCUUUCACUGGGAGGCACCUGAGGAAAGCUCUGGAAGGUUGGCAUCAAUCUGGGCCAGCCACGUGCUAAAAUACCUCCCAGGGCUGAAUGGUGGUGAGCCCAGCUCUUCUGCAGUGGGAAAGCAGGGAAUUCCUGGCCAAAGAGUGGGGUGUGGUGUGAGCUCCAUUGUAUUUGAGCUACUCAGAGGAGCAACAAGCUGCACCAUGUGACUCAGCCACAGAUUUUUUGGUUCUGCAAUUUAAUCUCUUGCAUUUUAUA
Molecule: long non-coding RNA, 583 nt
Organism: Pseudopipra pipra
Lineage: Eukaryota; Metazoa; Chordata; Aves; Passeriformes; Pipridae
Exons: 4
Source: RefSeq, a predicted model, not a curated record